CUGGCUACUGAUAUUUACGGUGGCCCUGAGGUGCCAAACACAAAUAGGCAAAUCAGAAAACACAACACAAAAAGAGAAAAGACAACACAAAAAGAGACAACACAAUGGUUAAUGUCAUUGUGUUUUCUAAUUUGCCGAUUUGUGUUUUGCACCUCAGGGCCACCGUAGACAUUAAUUAUGAGCCA
Non-coding RNA from Xyrichtys novacula (pearly razorfish), 185 nucleotides. NCBI's taxonomy places the organism in Eukaryota, Metazoa, Chordata, Actinopteri, Labriformes, Labridae. The record is from the annotation of a GenBank genome assembly.